Molecule: ribosomal RNA, 250 nt
Filed under: uncultured bacterium
Lineage: Bacteria
Description: partial 16S ribosomal RNA
Rfam family: Bacterial small subunit ribosomal RNA
Source: RNAcentral
UACGGGGGGGGCGAGCGUUGUUCGGAAUUACUGGGCGUAAAGGGCUCGUAGGCGGCCUUCUUAGUCGGACGUGAAAUCCCCCGGCUCAACCGGGGAACUGCGUCCGAUACUGGGAGGCUCGAAUCCGGGAGAGGGAUGCGGAAUUCCAGGUGUAGCGGUGAAAUGCGUAGAUAUCUGGAGGAACACCGGUGGCGAAGGCGGCAUCCUGGACCGGUAUUGACGCUGAGGAGCGAAAGCCAGGGGAGCAAAC